UUUAGGACAAAGGGAGAAUCGCUGAUGCCGUCGUGCCAAGAAAAGCCUCUAAGCAUAUCCAUAGUCGUCCGUACCGCAAACCGACACAGGUAGAUGAGAUGAGUAUUCUAAGGCGCGUGAAAGAACUCUGGUUAAGGAACUCUGCAAACUAGCACCGUAAGUUCGCGAUAAGGUGUGCCGCAGCAAUGCGGUCUCAGCAAAGAGUCCCUCCCGACUGUUUACCAAAAACACAGCACUUUGCCAACUCGUAAGAGGAAGUAUAAGGUGUGACGCCUGCCCGGUGCUCGAAGGUUAAGAGGAUGCGUCAGUCGCAAGAUGAAGCGUUGAAUUGAAGCCCGAGUAAACGGCGGCCGUAACUAUAACGGUCCUAAGGUAGCGAAAUUCCUUGUCGGUUAAAUACCGACCUGCAUGAAUGGCGUAACGAGAUGGGAGCUGUCUCAACCAGAGAUUCAGUGAAAUUGUAGUGGAGGUGAAAAUUCCUCCUACCCGCGGCAAGACGGAAAGACCCCGUGGACCUUUACUACAACUUAGCACUGCUAAUGGGAAUAUCAUGCGCAGGAUAGGUGGGAGGCUUUGAAGUAAGGGCUUUG
Molecule: ribosomal RNA, 590 nt
Filed under: Helicobacter pylori
Lineage: Bacteria; Pseudomonadati; Campylobacterota; Epsilonproteobacteria; Campylobacterales; Helicobacteraceae
Description: bacterial LSU rRNA
Rfam family: Bacterial large subunit ribosomal RNA
Source: RNAcentral